Molecule: non-coding RNA, 5512 nt
Organism: Chlorocebus sabaeus (green monkey)
Lineage: Eukaryota; Metazoa; Chordata; Mammalia; Primates; Cercopithecidae
Source: RefSeq, a predicted model, not a curated record
CCACCCCACUCUGUGGAAAAAUUGUCUUCCACAAAACUGGUCCCUGGUGCCAAAAAGAUUGGAGACAACUGCUCUAUGUUACACCAACAUUAACUGAUACUAACAGAAAUCUUAUUUACCACAGUAAACACAUGAAGUUAUUUUAUAUACAUUUUCACAGAGCAAGUUCAUUUUGGUAAUACCCAAAUCCAUAUAGCAUACUAUGUUUCUUCUAUGAUUAUCAUCAUGGACUCUCAAAAUUGGAAAAUGAGUCCAUCUGGUCCAAUUUUACGUUAUAUAUUAGCAGAGCCUUGCUAUGCCCAAGGCUCUGCUAAUAGAUACCUCUGUUGAAAACUAUUAAUCCACAGACCAGCAGUAGCAGCAGCAGCAGCACCAGGGAACUCAGGCAAAGGCAAAUUAAAUUCAGAGGACCCACUUCACACACGUUGAAUUGGAAUUUUGGGGAGUUGGAACUAACAAUCUGAUUUAACAAGGACUUUGGGGGAUUCUUGUCAUACUAAAGUUUGAGAACCAUUGAUCUAUAAACUCCUCAUUUAUGAUCACUAGUUUCUGCUUAAAUACUUCCUUAAUUAGGAAAUCUACUACUUUAUAAGGCAGACCAUUGCAUUUUAGAACAUCACUUCUUGUUGGAAAAUCUCUUCUUAUUUAGAUCCAAGCCUACCUUCCUGGAGCCUCUAUGUACUACUUGUUUUGCUCAACAAGAACACAAACAGUGUUGACUCCAUCUUCUAUAUGAUGGUGAGUUGUGGUCAAACACAGCUAUCCUGCUCCUCUUCCUCCCUCCAUGAGUGUCCUCCUCCCCCAGUGAAUGUCCUUCUUGGGAUAGAUAACUUUAGUGGCUUUUAAACGUUCACCAAGCUGCAUUUAUCUCUUUAAUAUUCUUAUUGUUCUCCUUUAAUGAUGUUCCAUUUUGUCACCAUUCCUUCGAAGUGAAACACUUCAAAGAGCACAAUAAAAAAAUAAAGAAAUAAAAAUUUUUAAAAUAAAUUUAAAAUGAGAACAGAAGAUAAUCCUUUAAGUGUGGUCUGACAACAGAAGGUAAAACAAAUAGAUACCUCUGUUAAAAAGUAAAUGCUAUUAUUGGUUUGGGAUUGGACAUUCUGAUUAUAAUAGGCUUUUUCCUUUAUAAAACUGAAAUAUCUACAGAAGUCAGGUUUUCUUCUAAAAGGAGUUAUUUAUUUGGGUUAGUGACUUAUUGUUUGACAUUUUCAAGAUAAUUUUACAUUCGUUUUACUUAACCACAAACCAUUAUAAAGGAGAGGCAUUUCCUUCGCUUUGCAUAAAUUAUCCCUCCACCAUUAGGAUUCCCCAAGAUAGGAAAGUUACAUACCUGGGAAAAACCGUGGUGGUAAAUGAGGGUCAGUCUGAUGACCACGGCAGCCCAUGACUGUGCCAAAGACAGAUGACCUUUGCUUCCCCUCAGCCUCACCGCAAUGUUUCAUUGGCCAGUGCAGGAGAAACCAGGAUGCUUCCUCAUACUGCACAUCUUUAUCUGAGAACCAAAGGACAAAUAUGGGUGUCACAUGCCAGCUCCUUCUACCUCCUUCUGAAACCAGAGGACUGGACUGGGACCAACAGAGAUCAUGCUGUUUAGUCCACAGAUUUCAGGAAAAGUGAAUUCUGAAGAAUCAUUUUUUUUUUAGAUCUUCCUAUGUGUAAAAUUCUUGCACAAUUUUCACGAAAAUUGUCAACUUUAAAUGAGAUUGUAAAUCUCACCAAAGAUUUUUACACAUAGGAAGAUCUAAAAAAAAAUGAUUAUUAUUUUUUUCCUUUAUAGCUGAUGCUUGACUUUUUUUUCCCUUGGUAAUAUAGCUUAUGAAGCAGAUAUAUAUGCCAAUAUACCUUUGAUUUUAAGUCUUUUAAAUAGAAGACCGUAUGGAUAAAUUGACACAUGAGAGACAGAUAGAUGUAUGGACACAUACAUGUUCACAGUUGUUGUUUUAGAGAUUAUGCCACAGAGUCAUCAAAUGCUGUCUAACACUAAAUUAGAUUUUCCUGUGAGUUGGUAAGCAACCUGUUGUGGGAAGUAAUCAAGCAGGGACUAGAUAUCCAUCUAUCAGAAAAAAUGAAUUGCUAGAGAGAGAUGGCAUAGCCUUUCCAAAGUUAAGUUUCCAUGAGUGUAGAGAAAUGAGGAUAAUGGCUGUUAAUGGUUAGUGUUUACCUUAGGAAAGCCAUCAAUCUAACUAUUCUAUCUGCACUAACUCAUUUAAUAUAGAAAGAGAUGCUUCCGAAAAGGGAAUUUUAACAAUAGUCUGACUUUCUGCAAAGAAAAUGCCAAGUGACAAAGUUAUAUCGUUGAUAUACGCACAUAUUCACAAAAGACCACUAUAUAGGGAAUAAGCUUUUGCAAAUAAACACAGUAUUGCCUCCAAAUCAGUGACUUAUUGUUAAACUUCCCAAUUUCUUUCACCCUUAGCACUUUGCCUUCUAACUCCUAUAUCUCCUGCCUUCAUUUAGUUGCCCAGUAGGAAGGUUGGACCAAAGUGUUUUCUUAGACCUCCAAACUAAAAGCCCUUUGCAGCCAAGAGUGGAGGAAAAUAAAUACAUUUAGAAGGGAAUUAAAUCAAUGCCAGCCUAGGAGGGUCCGCAGACCCGACAAAGGUUUCCUUUCAGCUUACUUUUAAAUAUGACCUUCAGGAGGCUAGAGACUUGUGAGGGUUUGGGUGUUCAGCCAUUUAUAUUGGCUUGUUCCCAAGCUCUGCCUUCCCUUAGUGAUGUCCUAGACAGCGCGCUCUGCAAACUCCUCACACAGUCCUCCCUUUCUCUAUGUAAGGUAGACUUUAAUCUGAUCUGGAGUUCACUUACAUCAAAUGCAUUUUGCCGUUUCUGUAGGAUUUAAUGGCACCAAAAUUCUUCCCAAAACAUGUUGAUCCCCUACUCCAUUGCUACUUCCUUCAGGAAGCAAGGGAAAGAGAGAUUUGCUGAAUGUCCACUCUGUCGCUGAUGACUAGGUUAGGGGUUCUCACAUAGAUCACCUAUGAAGAACUGAUGACUAAUCUCUUUUUAUAGAUUAGGAAGCUGUGGCUCAGAGAGAGAGUUGUCCAAAGGGAGGAUUCCAGCUGCAACUGUAGCCUUCUGCUCCAGGGCCCUCUCCCUGCCUCAUGGUACCCCAUCGACACCUAGCCCAUGCCCACAGCACCUCCAAGACACCUGGCUCAGCAUUCAGCACCCUCUGCCUUGUACUGUAAUAAUCUGUGCCCACAUCUUCUCUCCUUUACUGUCUUCUCUCCGAGGACCAGGAGUGGGUUGUGUUUAUCCUUCUAUCCCCCAUAAGGAGCACAGUUUCUGGCUCACAGUGGGUUCUUGUUUUACAGUUGUUGAAUUGCAGGAUCGACGUGCACUGGCAUUCCAUCAAAAGAGCAUUAAGACUUACUUGGAAUCUGCACAGACUCUCAAUGUGGUCACAUUGUUCUAAACAGAUUCUGUUCAGGAACCAUGACACAAAAGAUGAAAAACUACUGAGAUGCAGACAUUCAAGCAAAGGUCACAUUCCUGAUCACAGACAAAUGGAGAGGGGUAGAGGGCUACUGUGUAUCAUCUCAAUAGAGAUGAGCAAGCUUUCUUAUAACCAGAAGUGGAAAAUGGAAAGAAAGAAGAAAACUUGGAGGAAGGCAAAGGGUGAAUAUUGAAUCAAUUGAAUGGAUUCAAUUCAAGGUGGAAUCAAUUUUGUAAAACGAAUUUUAUCUUAGUGACACUUUAGAGAACACUGUUACUAUAGAGAACAACUCAGUUUCUACAAACCAAAAGAUCAUAACAAAGCAUUAGAAUGGACUUUAUUCAGGUUAUUUUCAAGUUAGUUUGCUUUUAUUCAAAGGCUGCUGAAAUACUUAUCAAGCAAGCAGACAAAGUGUGACAGCUAGAAUAAGGAGAAGAUUACUGUGAGUUCCUUUGCAUGAAGCUAUUUGGUGUUUCAGAAGAAAUUACAUUAAAGAAAGCAUCUGAUCAAACAUAUAAUUCUGUCAGUACAACAGAAGGAAUCUAAAAAAUAAUUUUAGCUCUUCUUAAGCAGCCAGUUUUCAUGAUUUCAUAACCUUUGUCACACAGUCAGAAACUAACUUUAUUAGAAUAUAUUUAAGUUGUCAAACAUUUGCUGAAUACCUAUUAUUAGCAAGGUGCUGUACUAAGCUUUGUAGGGGAUACAACUAUGAAUAAGAAGUAGUCCUUUCUUUAGAGAAGUCACAGAAUGCUGAGACUGACUCAUAUUUAUAAACAACUAUAAGUCAAAACAGAAACUAUUAAAUACUAUAAUAGUAAAAAAACAUCCAGAAUGCUAUGGAAAUAGGAAUGAAGACACCAUGUGGACUUGUAAAGCCUGAGAAAGGUCUCAAGAAGGAGGCAGAAUCUGAGCUGGGUUGCAAAGAAGGUAUAGAUGUUACCAGGUACAGAGACAGGGCAAAGUCAUUAGAGACCCAGCAUAUGGCAAGAGGGUGAGAGAAGGAAAUUAUAAAAUAUGUCCUAGAAACAGCAGGGACCAGUUUGGUUAGAACAAAUAUCUUGAGAUGGAGUAGAAGGCAGUACAUCCAGAAAAUUAUAUUAGUGUAAGAAUCUCAUGAGUUUGCAAUAGAUAAUAAGAAAUUUAGACUAUUCCAUAGGCAUAGUCUAUGGGAGAAGGGAUUCUAUUAUUAAAAGUAAUAGCACAAAAUGAUAGAAAUUGGAGACACAGAGGCCACUUAUGAGGUUACUACAAUAGUCCAAGUAGGUAGAAAUCUGGCACUGGGUGAAGAUAAAUGGCAUGAGACUGAGCUAGCAAGAAUAUGUAUAAAGCCAGGUAUCAGCAUUAUUGGCAAGGUAAUGGUCUCCAAAGAAAGCUAGUUAGCAUCAUCCUCAAAGAUCUUCUUGGCACAAAUCCCAAUAUACAAAGUAGAAAAAAAAUACAAGAUAGAUGAUCCUCUAGAUGAAGAGCUCAGCAAUAUAGACUCCAAACCAGAGCAACCCAGUAGUGUUGCAUUUAAUCAUGGGGUUCAGUUGGAUGUACAGAGUGUUACACAAAAGUAUAUCUGAAACUGGAAAGCGUAAGAUUAAUCAGGUAGAUUUUCCACUGAUUAUAUUUGAUUAGUUUAUCCUUCAAGGAGAAUAAUUGUUUUAUCAAAAAAGUUAUUUAAUUGAAGAGCAUUUAAAGUAAUACCAAUUGCAGUUUGAAACUUUCUUGAACAAUUACUUGUGAAUUCAAGAGAUUGCUAUAGUGAAGGUUGAUAUAGUUUGGAUAUUUGCCCUUGCUCCAAUCUCGUUGAAUUGUAAUCCCCAGUGUUGGAGUUGGGGUCUGGUGGGAGGUGUUUGGAUCAUGGGGGCUGACCUCUCAUGGCUUUGGUCUGUCUUCGUGAUACUGAGUUCUUAGGAGAUCUAGUCAUUUAAAAGCGUGUGGCACCUCCCCGUGAACUCUCACUCUCCCUUCACCUUUUGCCAUAAUUGUAAGCUUCCUGAGUCCUCCCUAGACAUUGAGCAGAUGCCCGUACCAUGCUUUCUGUAAAGCCUGCAGAACUGUGGGCCAAUUAAACCUCUUGUCUUUAUAAAU